This 315-nucleotide long non-coding RNA is filed under the name Mustela putorius furo (domestic ferret). Its description in RNAcentral is "lncRNA (ENSMPUG00000031925.1)". The record is from RNAcentral. Lineage: Eukaryota; Metazoa; Chordata; Mammalia; Carnivora; Mustelidae.
AUGUUGUUAUUGUUAGUGUGGCACCCCCAGCCCAUGCCAGGAGGAUCUGAGACACCCAGGGAAGAGGCCAGAGAGCAGCUCAGGACCCUGCCUGGUGUCCAAGACUGCGAUGGUCUUCAAGGAGGGACAGUCGUCCAGGAGGAGUGCGGACGUGCGGACGUGCGGACGUGCGGCCGUGGCUACCGUCCAGCCUCGUGGUCAGAGUGUGGGCAGAACAGGCGCGCAGGACGGGUAACAAGGUUCCUGGGGUUAAGACAUGAACAGUCGUUUGGGGGCAUGUGAUUAAACCCAUAGCACUGCCCCCGAGGAGCAACC